GUGCUUACUUUGGCAGUACAUAUACUAAAAUUGGAACAAUAUAGAGAAAAUUAGCAUGGCCCCUGUGCAAAGAUGACAUGCAAAUUUGUGAAGGGUUCCAUAUUUUU
This is a small nuclear RNA of Psammomys obesus (fat sand rat), 107 nucleotides long. Lineage: Eukaryota; Metazoa; Chordata; Mammalia; Rodentia; Muridae. The record is from RefSeq and is a predicted model, not a curated record.